RNAcentral lists this non-coding RNA (148 nucleotides) under Nomascus leucogenys (northern white-cheeked gibbon). Lineage: Eukaryota; Metazoa; Chordata; Mammalia; Primates; Hylobatidae. The record is from Rfam by way of RNAcentral.
GCCAGGCGUGGUGGCACAUGCCUGUAAUCCCAGUUACUUGGGAGGCUGAGGCAGGAGAAUUUCUUGAGCCCGGGAGACAAAGGUUGCAGUGAGCUUAGAUCGUGCCACUGCACUCCAGCCUGGGCAACAGAGCAAGAUUCUGUCUCAA